RNAcentral lists this long non-coding RNA (1044 nucleotides) under Chrysemys picta bellii (western painted turtle). RNAcentral describes it as "lncRNA (ENSCPBG00000015525.1)". The record is from RNAcentral. Lineage: Eukaryota; Metazoa; Chordata; Testudines; Emydidae.
AUACCCCACCGCUACCUGGGCCCGCAGGCGUUAAUAAGCGGUGUGGGGGAGGGUGUGACGUUCCCCCCCGCGGGCCGGGCCGAGAGAAGCUCCGCCCCUGCCAUGGGGUGGGCGGAGCCUCCCACCUCAACCUCACCGUCCGGCUCGGGCGCCAUUUUGAGAAGCUCUUUGUGUGUCGGGGCUGCGAGAGACACUCGGUGCUUACCCGGGCAGCGCAGGGAGCGGGGCCUUGGCCGCUGUGACUGGCGCUUCCCCGGGAGCGCGCGGUGCAACCGGGCCUGAGCGCUUUUACUCUCUACCCCACGGACCUCGGAGCACAAAGCGCGCCGGUGGAUAUGCCCCUGUCGCUUGUUUUUUUAGUGAACUAGAUGAUUUAUUAGAAAAUGGUACAUGAAGAUGCUUACUGUUCUUCUGCGUCUGCGGAGUGGAUUACUAUGCUAUCAACGCACUGCUCCUAGUUUGGUUUAUUCGUAUUAUUAGCCCUACACUGAUGAUGCCUUAUGUACAGCUGCUAGACUGCAUUCAUUCCCUCCUUUCUCCUGAUUCGUUUCUCCUGAGAAGCAUCACAUCUGUUCUGCACUUUCCUCAAGAUGCUUGGUCAGAAAUGUGAGAGGAGUUGAAUGAACUGAUGUGACCCCAUUCAUUCUGUACUGUUCCAGCUGGGAAGUGUUGUGUAGUAGAGCAGCAUAGACACUUGGCUUGCCUCCAAUGGUACACUCAAGAAAAUUAAGGGGACCAAGAGGUCGGGGCAGAGGAAGAGGUGGCAGAGAUUUUGGAAACAAGGGACAGCUUUCAUAUGUCAGAGGGAAAAUGCGAGGCAAAACAAUUAAUGGCAUUGGGCCCAUGAGACGUGGGAUAGGAAGAAUGCAUCCAUAUCCUGACCCCCGAGGCCAAAGAGGAGGCAGAGGGGGGCCACCUCUUUUAUCACUCCCACCCCUGAGAGGAAUGAUGAGAGAUCCUUUCUCACUUCCACCACCAAGGUUAGUUUUGAUAACAUUGAUAGAAAGGUGUUUGUUUAAAAACGAUGGAUGUGUAGUGCUGUAG